GACGAACGCUGGCGGCGUGCUUAACACAUGCAAGUCGAACGGAAAGGCCCUGAUUGUGUGGUGUUCUCGAGUGGCAAACGGGGUAGUAACACGUGAGUAACCUGCUCUUUACUUUGGGAUAACUUCAGGAAACUGAGGUUAAUACCGUAUCGGAUCUCCCGCUGCAUGGUUGGCGUUGGAACGUUUCGGCGGUUGGGGAUGGACGCGCGGCUUAUGAGCUUGUUGGUGGGGUAGUGGCUUACCAAGGCUUUGACGGGUACCCGACCGGGGAGGGGGACCGGGCACAAGGGGACUGAGAGAGGGACCAGAGGGAAACGGGGGGCAGCGGUGGGGAACAUUGCACAAAGGGCGGAAGUCUGAGGAAGAAACGUCGGGUGCGUGAUGACGGUCUGUGGGGUAUAAAAAGCUGUCGCCUGUGACGAAGCGGGAGUGACGGUAACGAGUAAAGAAGCACCGGCUAACUACGUG
This 468-nucleotide ribosomal RNA is filed under the name uncultured bacterium. Its description in RNAcentral is "partial 16S ribosomal RNA". It matches the Rfam family "Bacterial small subunit ribosomal RNA", at positions 28 to 507 of the family's 1533-position model. The record is from RNAcentral.